GCGAUCCCUUUGGAUGUCUUCUUGUUCAGUAAGUUUUGAAGCAUGUAAGAUGCUAGCUCAGAAGAUGCCUAGGCUUAAUGUGGAAGUCAUAGAUGAGAGGGGUCCUCCAGAUACAAGGCCAGAAAGCUGUCCUGUGGAGAAACUUUACAUAUAUCGAACAGUAGCUGGACGAAGAUUUGAUACACCUGGUUAUGUUUGGACAAUGGAUGAAGAUGCAGCUGUAAGCUUGACCUGAGCCAUACAUCAAAUGGGAAAUUCCAGCAAGACUUCACAUGGAAAGAUGGGCAGGUAUUAGCGCUAUGUUUAUCCUCCUGCAUUUGUUUGUCACGCCUUAUGUAGUUGCAGUGCCAGUUGAGGGUUGGAACUUCACUGCUAUGAAGUACGAGGCUCCCGAGCUCAUACGCCAUCAAUUUUAUUCAUGGCUGAGAGCUACUUCACAGCAGGUAGUUUUUAAUAAAGAGUUUGAACUCUGAGUUUCUGUGUAUCAUCUAGAAGUAACAAUUAUUCGUCUUCUUUGGGUGGGAUUUUG
RNAcentral lists this unclassified non-coding RNA (529 nucleotides) under Hevea brasiliensis (rubber tree). Lineage: Eukaryota; Viridiplantae; Streptophyta; Magnoliopsida; Malpighiales; Euphorbiaceae. The record is from RNAcentral.